RNAcentral lists this unclassified non-coding RNA (686 nucleotides) under Hevea brasiliensis (rubber tree). Lineage: Eukaryota; Viridiplantae; Streptophyta; Magnoliopsida; Malpighiales; Euphorbiaceae. The record is from RNAcentral.
CAAUAUUAGGUUCUCUUUGGGAAAGUUUUCCUCCUGCAUGAUGAAUUCAUAGCACUGCCGUAGCAUGUUUUCUGAGUAGUCCAGAGCAACAACAUGAGAAAACAAACCACUUUUGGCAAAAAGUCUGGAAAAUAAUCCACUACCACAACUAGCAUCAAUAAUAUUUCCACCUAAACCUGGCUGCAGGUAAUCCUUCAUCAAUUCAAACUCUUUCUCUGGGCCAGGGAAACCACCCCAUAUGAAAUUUUGACGCCAACCCCUCUCAUAGAGAAAUGAUAUCAGUGGAAGCCUGAAAAGUUCAGUAGCCAAUGGCAUAGAANAAUCGUCAUAUUUACUGGACCCACUAGCCACAGUCAAUUCAAGAUGUGUUUCCUUGCCAGAAUAAGUCUUCUUACAACAGCCACACUGCAAACUAGACCCAGCACAAUCUACAGACAAGACGCGAUCCCCCAUCCAAGACAAGGGCUCGAAGCAUACGGGACAAGCUAAAAUGUUCUUACUGAUACUGACCUCUUUUUCAACCACAACAGGAUCCAGCGGCUUGGUUUCGACGAAGGCAGUAGAUGAGGCACGAAUUUUUGACGCGAAGCUCGAGCUCCUUUGUUUGAUAAGCGGUGUAUAAUAGGCGUUGAAGAAGCAGCGCCUAGAAUUGGAGAAUUGAGUCGGAAGAAACACGGAGGCGAGAG